RNAcentral lists this ribosomal RNA (427 nucleotides) under uncultured bacterium. RNAcentral describes it as "partial 16S ribosomal RNA". It matches the Rfam family "Bacterial small subunit ribosomal RNA", at positions 355 to 774 of the family's 1533-position model. The record is from RNAcentral.
UGGGGAAUAUUGCACAAUGGGCGCAAGCCUGAUGCAGCCAUGCCGCGUGUAUGACGAAGGCCUUCGGGUUGUAAAGUACUUUCAGCGAGGAGGAAGGCGUUGUGGUUAAUAACCGCAACGAUUGACGUUACUCGCAGCAGAAGCACCGGCUAACUCCGUGCCAGCAGCCGCGGUAAUACGGAGGGUGCACGCGUUAAUCGGAAUUACUGGGCGUAAAGCGCACGCAGGCGGUCUGUCAAGUCGGAUGUGAAAUCCCCGGGCUCAACCUGGGAACUGCAUCCGAAACUGGCAGGCUAGAGUCUUGUAGAGGGGGGUAGAAUUCCAGGUGUAGCGGUGAAAUGCGUAGAGAUCUGGAGGAAUACCGGUGGCGAAGGCGGCCCCCUGGACAAAGACUGACGCUCAGGUGCGAAAGCGUGGGGAGCAAACA